UUCGACCUCAAAUCAGGUAGGAUUACCCGCUGAACUUAAGCAUAUCAAUAAGCGGAGGAAAAG
Molecule: ribosomal RNA, 63 nt
Filed under: Lodderomyces elongisporus
Lineage: Eukaryota; Fungi; Ascomycota; Pichiomycetes; Serinales; Debaryomycetaceae
Description: partial 28S ribosomal RNA
Rfam family: Eukaryotic large subunit ribosomal RNA
Source: RNAcentral